This 314-nucleotide ribosomal RNA is filed under the name uncultured bacterium. RNAcentral describes it as "bacterial SSU rRNA". It matches the Rfam family "Bacterial small subunit ribosomal RNA", at positions 30 to 342 of the family's 1533-position model. The record is from RNAcentral.
AUUGAACGCUGGCGGCAUGCCUUACACAUGCAAGUCGAACGGCAGCGGACCUUCGGGUGCCGGCGAGUGGCGAACGGGUGAGUAAUAUAUCGGAACGUACCUUUCAGUGGGGGAGUAACGUAGCGAAAGUUACGCUAAUACCGCAUAUUCUGUGAGCAGGAAAGACAGGGGAGUCGCAAGACCUUGCGCUGAUUGAGCGGCCGAUAUCAGAUUAGCUAGUUGGUGAGGUAAAGGACUCACCAAGGCGACGAUCUGUAGCGGGUCUGAGAGGAUGAUCCGCCACACUGGAACUGAGACACGGUCCAGACUCCUAC